AAGAGGUGCCAUGCACUCCAGGAGAAGAGCUGACUGGAUCCUAUACUCAAAGAAUGGGCCACGGAUCCCUACCUGUCCACUGUUUGUUACUGGGCUGGGAAGCUGCAAGACCCGAUGCUGGGGAGCCCACCAUGAAAUCUGUCCCAAAUCAUGGAACCCCGAGGUGAAAGGCCCCCAGGCAUGCCAACACAUGGCAGACAAAUCCAGUUGUGUCCAGGGAUGGCGUUCCCUCCAGUUUUCUGAAAGACGCUCCCAUAUUCCUUAAGCACAGGGAUCUACUAAAGGAUGUGCUCCUUAAAAAUGAGGGAGUAAGCCGAGAAAGAGGAAGAUGUGGGCUCUAGAAAAUGGAAUCCAAUGCAGCAAAAGGUAAAGGGGAUUUUUAGAAUCACGACCAAGAGAACUCUGAGGUCAACAGCUGUGCAGCAGGCCUAGAGAAUGAUCUGUGAAGAUGGGUACAGGAGGAGGAGGGACUCUAGGUGGGAGGGCUCUAUCAUGUGGUGGUACUGGUGUCAGCCCAUUGGAGCCAAUUGUUAAAUAUUUGGGAAUGUUGUAAGCCAGUUUUUAAACACAGUCAUUAUUUAAAAAGUAAAUUAUAAAAGGCUUAAUCAUAUUAGAAAUAAAGAUGAUAAAUAUUCCAAAUUCA
This is a long non-coding RNA of Homo sapiens (human), 643 nucleotides long. The record is from Ensembl. NCBI's taxonomy places the organism in Eukaryota, Metazoa, Chordata, Mammalia, Primates, Hominidae.